RNAcentral lists this ribosomal RNA (274 nucleotides) under uncultured bacterium. RNAcentral describes it as "partial 16S ribosomal RNA". It matches the Rfam family "Bacterial small subunit ribosomal RNA", at positions 523 to 796 of the family's 1533-position model. The record is from RNAcentral.
AUACGGAGGGGACUAGCGUUGUUCGGAAUUACUGGGCGUAAAGCGUACGUAGGCGGAUCGGAAAGUAUAGGGUGAAAUCCCAGGGCUUAACCCUGGAACUGCCUUAUAAACUCCCGGUCUUGAGUUCGAGAGAGGUGAGUGGAAUUCCGAGUGUAGAGGUGAAAUUCGUAGAUAUUCGGAGGAACACCAGUGGCGAAGGCGGCUCACUGGCUCGAUACUGACGCUGAGGUACGAAAGUGUGGGGAGCAAACAGGAUUAGAAACCCUAGUAGUCC